CCUACGGGGGGCAGCAGUCGAGAAUCAUUCACAAUGGGGGAAACCCUGAUGGUGCGACGCCGCGUGGGGGAAUGAAGGUCUUCGGAUUGUAAACCCCUGUCAUGUGGGAGCAAAUUAAAAAGAUAGUACCACAAGAGGAAGAGACGGCUAACUCUGUGCCAGCAGCCGCGGUAAUACAGAGGUCUCAAGCGUUGUUCGGAAUCACUGGGCGUAAAGCGUGCGUAGGCUGUUUCGUAAGUCGUGUGUGAAAGGCGCGGGCUCAACCCGCGGACGGCACCUGAUACUGCGAGACUAGAGUGAUGGAGGGGGAACCGGAAUUCUCGGUGUAGCAGUGAAAUGCGUAGAUAUCGAGAGGAACACUCGUGGCGAAGGCGGGUUCCUGGACAUUAACUGACGCUGAGGCACGAAGGCCAGGGGAGCGAAAGGGAUUAGAUACCCUUGUAGUC
RNAcentral lists this ribosomal RNA (446 nucleotides) under uncultured bacterium. RNAcentral's name for it is "partial 16S ribosomal RNA". It matches the Rfam family "Bacterial small subunit ribosomal RNA", at positions 338 to 795 of the family's 1533-position model. The record is from RNAcentral.